RNAcentral lists this ribosomal RNA (726 nucleotides) under uncultured archaeon. RNAcentral's name for it is "bacterial SSU rRNA". It matches the Rfam family "Archaeal small subunit ribosomal RNA", at positions 57 to 761 of the family's 1478-position model. The record is from RNAcentral.
GUCGAACGACCCGAACUAUGGCGGGAAGUGGCAGACUGCUCAGUAACACGUAGCUAACCUACCCUUGGGACGGGAAUAACCCCGGGAAACUGAGGUUAAUACCCGAUAGGUGUGGAAUCCUGGAAUGGUACCACGCCAAAAUGUAAACGCAUCCAUGUUUGCGUACACGCCCGAGGAUGGGGCUGCGGCCGAUCAGGCAGUUGGUGAGGUAACGGCUCACCAAACCUUUGACCGGUACGGGCCAUGAGAGUGGUAGCCCGGAGAUGGGCACUGAGACAAGGGCCCAGGCCCUACGGGGCGCAGCAGGCGCGCAACCUCCACAAUUCACGAAAGUGAGAUGGGGUUACCUCGAGUGCCGCCUGAAGAAGGCGGCUUUUCCAUUGUGUAAUGAGCCGUGGGAAUAAGGGGGGGGCAAGACUGGUGUCAGCCGCCGCGGUAACACCAGCCCCCCGAGUGGUGGGGAUGAUUAUUUGGCCUAAAGCGUCCGUAGCCGGCUCUGUAAACCUCUCGUUAAAUCCAACGUCCUAAGCGUUGGACUGCGAGGGAAACUGCACGGCUAGAGGGUGGGAGAGGUAUGCAGUAUUCUGGGGGUAGGGGCGAAAUCCAUUGAUCCCCGGAGGACCACCAGUGGCGAAGGCUGCAUACUAGAACACGCCUGACGGUCAGGGACGAAAGCUGGGGUAGCGAACCGGAUUAGAUACCCGGGUAGUCCCAGCCGUAAACGAU